This 526-nucleotide ribosomal RNA is filed under the name uncultured bacterium. RNAcentral describes it as "bacterial SSU rRNA". It matches the Rfam family "Bacterial small subunit ribosomal RNA", at positions 57 to 572 of the family's 1533-position model. The record is from RNAcentral.
GCAAGUCGAGCGGUAACAGAGAGUAGCUUGCUACUCUGCUGACGAGCGGCGGACGGGUGAGUAAUGCUUGGGAAUAUGCCUUAUGGUGGGGGACAACAGUUGGAAACGACUGCUAAUACCGCAUGAUGUCUACGGACCAAAGUGGGGGACCUUCGGGCCUCACGCCAUAAGAUUAGCCCAAGUGGGAUUAGCUAGUUGGUGAGGUAAUGGCUCACCAAGGCGACGAUCCCUAGCUGGUUUGAGAGGAUGAUCAGCCACACUGGGACUGAGACACGGCCCAGACUCCUACGGGAGGCAGCAGUGGGGAAUAUUGCACAAUGGGCGCAAGCCUGAUGCAGCCAUGCCGCGUGUGUGAAGAAGGCCUUCGGGUUGUAAAGCACUUUCAGUAAGGAGGAAAGGUUAAGUGUUAAUAGUACUUAGCUGUGACGUUACUUACAGAAGAAGCACCGGCUAACUCCGUGCCAGCAGCCGCGGUAAUACGGAGGGUGCGAGCGUUAAUCGGAAUUACUGGGCGUAAAGCGUACGC